GGGCCGGUAUACGCCUUGGUCGCGCUCCUGCUCCGAUCGCCUUACAAGCGAGAUGUCACUGGUUCGAACCCAGUAGUGCCCACCA
Molecule: transfer RNA, 85 nt
Filed under: Streptosporangium album
Lineage: Bacteria; Bacillati; Actinomycetota; Actinomycetes; Streptosporangiales; Streptosporangiaceae
Description: tRNA-Val
Source: RNAcentral